Molecule: non-coding RNA, 662 nt
Organism: Paramisgurnus dabryanus
Lineage: Eukaryota; Metazoa; Chordata; Actinopteri; Cypriniformes; Cobitidae
Source: RefSeq, a predicted model, not a curated record
UGUAACUCGUAACUCACGACUUCAAAACCACGACUCUGAACUGGGAGUACAUCGAUCUAGUACGAGUUCACGGGUGGGAAGUCACGGGUUUGACUGCCAUUCCAGUGCACUUUCACCGGUAGAAGGUUGUAAAAACACGGGUUACUGGCUGCCUGGAACGCAUAUGGUUGUGAGUCGUGGUUUUGAAGUCUUAACUCACGAGUUUAAAAACCUGCCUGGAACGCAGCAUUACUCUCGGUCUCUUUGUUUGCUCAUCGACAUUACGAGGUCAUGUACACUGUGGUCAACUUUGUGGACGAUGAAGAGGUUUCUGGGUAAAGAUGAUAGAAAUAUAAUGAAGUAACAGUGAAAGCUAAAACAUCAGACUGAUCCAGACACUGAAGAAAUUGAUGUCACUGCAAUCUGGCCAAAAUGAUACAACAAUAUUGAACUAGCCUACUGUAAUGAAGCUGCAGAACAACACAGAGACUCUGAGGACAUCAACACAGAAAAUGAAGGUUCCAAAGAGAUGUCUGUCCAGAUGAGGGUGCAUCAACUUUACCUUUGCUGACAACAGUUAACUUAACUCAAACCAUUUAAGGAAAUCGGUUGCCUUAAACCAUUAAGUUUUAAAAAACAUACAUUUGAGUACUGUGAACUUAAGUCUUGUGCAAUUAUGCACU